Molecule: ribosomal RNA, 386 nt
Filed under: Aplanochytrium sp. PBS07
Lineage: Eukaryota; Bigyra; Thraustochytrida; Thraustochytriidae
Description: partial Bacterial small subunit ribosomal RNA
Rfam family: Bacterial small subunit ribosomal RNA
Source: RNAcentral
GUGCGUAGGCGGCUUCUUAAGUCGGAUGUGAAAUCCCUGAGCUUAACUUAGGAAUUGCAUUCGAUACUGGGAAGCUAGAGUAUGGGAGAGGAUGGUAGAAUUCCAGGUGUAGCGGUGAAAUGCGUAGAUAUCUGGAAGAACACCGAUGGCGAAGGCAACCUCCUGGGCCUGUUUUGACGCUGAGGCACGAAAGCGUGGGUAGCAAACAGGAUUAGAUACCCUGGUAGUCCACGCCCUAAACGAUGAUUACUCGACAUUAGCGAUAUACUGUUAGUGUCUGAGCGAAAGCAUUAAGUAAUCCACCUGGGAAGUACGACCGCAAGGUUGAAACUCAAAGGAAUUGACGGGGACCCGCACAAGCGGUGGAGCAUGUGGUUUAAUUCGAA